GAUCUGGCUCAGGAUGAACGCUAGCGGCAGGCUAACACAUGCAAGUCGAGGGGCAGCGUGGAGUAGCAAUACUCUGACGGCGACCGGCGAAAGGGUGAGUAACGCGUGAGCAACAUGCCCGAUACUGGAGGAUAGUCGAUGGAAACGUCGCGUAAUACUCCGUAACAUAGGGGACCGCAUGAUUCUCUAUUAAUAGAUUUAUCGGUAUCGGAUUGGCUCGCGUACCAUUAGCUAGUUGGCGGGUAACGGCCCACCAAGGCGACGAUGGUUAGGGGUUCUGAGAGGAAGGUCCCCCACAUUGGAACUGAGACACGGUCCAGACUCCUACGGGAGGCAGCAGUGAGGAAUAUUGGACAAUGGCCGAGAGGCUGAUCCAGCCAUGCCGCGUGCCGGGAGGACGGCCCUAUGGGUUGUAAACCGCUUUUGUUGGGGAGCAAUAAGGGUCACGUGUGACCUGAUGAGAGUACCCAGCGAAUAAGCAUCGGCUAACUCCGUGCCAGCCGCCGC
This 507-nucleotide ribosomal RNA is filed under the name uncultured bacterium. RNAcentral describes it as "bacterial SSU rRNA". It matches the Rfam family "Bacterial small subunit ribosomal RNA", at positions 15 to 518 of the family's 1533-position model. The record is from RNAcentral.